UGUCCCUCCAACAACGUGAAGUUUUGUAAACUUUGUUUUUUUUCAUGUUUUAAUGUGGUGCCCAGGACAGAGCCCAGGGUGUCACCUGGGCCAGGCAAGUGCUCUACCACCGCCAGACCCCAGCCCCAGGAUUUUAAAAAUGGUGACAGAUUUUCAAAUUGAGCUUCUAUAAAGUCUAAGGUCAACUACGACAGUAAGACUAAGUAGGUGCUUAGGAAAACCUUGACCCUGACAUGAUGACGGACGCAAAGUGCUGACGUCAGUUCUCUGUAAAGGCCGUGUUUCUUUACACGAAGGCAGAUAGAUCACGGUGUUUAUUACACCAAGUGCAGGUUAAGGUCCAGAUGACCUUCAGAAUCCGGGUCCUAGAGGAUCUCUCAGCGUUGGUCAGGUGAAAUGUAAUGAGAUACGGGAACAGAGGUGCACAACGUCCUGAUUUUAACACACGGAUGUCUUUAUUCUAUUGCUAUUUAUGGUUUGGGUCCCAGGAGAACCUGCGGCAGAGAGUCCUGAGCGACUCUAAGUAUCCCUCAUCUGGCUGACCCUUUUUUUUUUGGUACUGGGGAUUGAACCCAGGGUCACGCACUUAGCCACUGAACCCCAUCCCCAGGCCGUUUUUACAUUUUAUUGAGAGACAGAGUCUCGCUGAGUUGCUUAGGGCCUUGCUGUGUUGCUGAGGCUGGCCUCCACCUUGCCAUCCUCCUGCCUCAGCCUCCUGAGCUGCAGGUAUGACGGGCGUGUGCCACCCUACCUGGCUGUAUUCUGCCUAAUAGAUGAAAGUCCUGUAGACACAGGUGACACUGAUUUCUCUGCUUCUGGAUUGGGUCUGUUCCCAUUUACUGUACAGUCAUUAUUUCAACUGAUGAAUGAUCAAAAGCAGGAGUUAAGUCCCUAACUCCUUAGAAAGUUCUUUUCACAGGAAAAGAAAAGUGUGUGUGGCGGGUGGGACC
RNAcentral lists this long non-coding RNA (950 nucleotides) under Marmota monax (woodchuck). The record is from RNAcentral. Lineage: Eukaryota; Metazoa; Chordata; Mammalia; Rodentia; Sciuridae.